GAUGACUGGCGCCCAUAAUGCCAAAGAGGAAGUGUAUGAGACUCAAUCCGCAUGGAAAUUUUCAUUUUGUACAAAUGGGUGAAUUCUAGACCAUUGAUCUGAUGCCCACACUCUUUGGAUUGAUCAUGGCCCGAGAAUCUCCUGGAAGGUUGCCAAUAGAAGAUGCAUGAUGCUACUGCCAAGAAGACUUAGGAAGCAUGAUCCAUUCACUGUGGGGCCCAUCAUGUCGAUGAUCUGGAUCUUCGAAUUGAGGUGUGACCAACAAAGACAAUAGUAAUAUAACACAUUACACAUACCUUGGCAAAUGCUUUCCUCAAUGAUGACCUUAUGUAGUAAUCAACUCGAUUCCGUGUGGAAUCCGGAACUGCAUGAUCUGGAAUCUGUGAAGCGACUCUCUGCGCUGCCCCAUUGCUUGAAACACUUUCGUCUAAGAUCUUUGUGGCCGAAAGUGCUAAAGGGAGGAUGUUCUCCACCAACUUGGCAGCAUUCUUCUGAAAGCUCCCAUGGUAAUCGAGCAAUCUCUUUUCAGCCCACCCUUGCAUUGAAGCCAAUGCUGAUGAGAGGAUCCUACCAUACAGGAUAUCCUUAUCGGCCCGCUUGGCAUCGUUCGCAACCUCCGCCAGAAUUGUAAGAGAAGCAAACAAGAGGUCAUGUUCCACUAGGCCUGUUGCAACAAACUGGUGGAAGAGUACCCAUGAAAAACAUACAUUGUGUAUCAACCUAGUAAUGCCCAAGGUGGACCAUGUCUUCUUCAUGAGCUCUACAAGAUCGUCGAUCUCAUCAAUGACCAUGGUCGCAUCCUUGAUAUCAAAGACCGACUGGAGGAUUGCGAUGUAGAGGUGGAGGUUGAUUGGGUAACCAUCUGCCCAGUGACACGUUUCCGGGACGGUGCCAUUGGGGCCCCGCCAAGCUAGUGUCAUUACACAAUUGCACAACGUUUUCAUGGUUUCUGAAUUCUUGCUAGUGUCAAUGAUCUUCGAUUUGCUUGAUUGGAUGAUCUGAUGGAGACGGACUGCGGAAGCGUUCGAUGGGUCCAGGGGGAUCAAAGGGUGCAGGAGGAUGCCUGCUUCCAUGAUUUUUAGCUGGCGCCGUUGCCAGUGGGAGUACUCAUGGGUGCCUUCAAAUUCAGAUGGUUUUAAAUGGCGGAGGAGCUCUAGUGGGAGGAUGAUUGUCUCUGCACGCCGGCUCAUCUGCUCGGAAGAAAGAUUGCAGAAAACAGUGUAUAAGAGCUUGCAGUAUAAAGCAAUGCUGCAGCUAUUUUAUCAGGUAAGUAACAGGAUGUUGGUGUGUGCAGGGAAUGGUUCUUUGUAACAUUGAAACUCUUUUAAGCGUACA
This is a long non-coding RNA of Magnolia sinica, 1335 nucleotides long. RefSeq lists it as uncharacterized. The transcript has 2 exons. Lineage: Eukaryota; Viridiplantae; Streptophyta; Magnoliopsida; Magnoliales; Magnoliaceae. The record is from RefSeq and is a predicted model, not a curated record.